AGAGUUUGAUCCUGGCUCAGAACGAACGCUGGCGGCGCGCCUAAUACAUGCAAGUCGAGCGAGAAGACGUAGCAAUACGUUUGUAAAGCGGCGAACGGGUGAGGAAUACAUGGGUAACCUACCCUCGAGUGGGGAAUAACUAACCGAAAGGUUAGCUAAUACCGCAUACGACUCCUGGUCUGCGGAUCGGGAGGGAAAGCGAUACCGUGGGUAUCGCGCUCUUGGAUGGGCUCAUGUCCUAUCAGCUUGUUGGUGAGGUAACGGCUCACCAAGGCUUCGACGGGUAGCUGGUCUGAGAGGACGAUCAGCCACACUGGCACUGCGACACGGGCCAGACUCCUACGGGAGGCAGCAGUAAGGAAUAUUGCGCAAUGGGCGACAGCCUGACGCAGCGACGCCGCGUGGGGGAUGAAGGUCUUCGGAUUGUAAACCCCUUUCGGCAGGGAAGAUGGAACGGGUAACCGUUCGGACGGUACCUGCAGAAGCAGCCACGGCUAACUUCGUGCCAGCAGCCGCGGUAAUACGAAGGUGGCAAGCGUUGUUCGGAUUUACUGGGCGUACAGGGAGCGUAGGCGGUUGGGUAAGCCCUCCGUGAAAUCUCCGGGCCUAACCCGGAAAGUGCGGAGGGGACUGCUCGGCUAGAGGACGGGAGAGGAGCGCGGAAUUCCCGGUGUAGCGGUGAAAUGCGUAGAGAUCGGGAGGAAGGCCGGUGGCGAAGGCGGCGCUCUGGAACAUUUCUGACGCUGAGGCUCGAAAGCGUGGGGAGCAAACAGGAUUAGAUACCCUGGUAGUCCACGCCU
Molecule: ribosomal RNA, 800 nt
Filed under: uncultured bacterium
Lineage: Bacteria
Description: bacterial SSU rRNA
Rfam family: Bacterial small subunit ribosomal RNA
Source: RNAcentral